UUCAGAAUAAUAGCAGAUCAGGGCAGCUGAACUGAUAUCAGAUUUUGCCCUUUGGAUUUUCAGAUUUCUAAGCAUCUGGCUGUGGGAGGAGUUAUGACAUCUGUACACCUGCCAGACAGGGUCUAUUUUAUCUUCAAAAGAUAUUUUCGAAUGGAAAGAAGGAUUAAAAUUUUUGCCAAAUUUGGGACCAGGAAGAAAUUUCCACCGCAUUCCCAUGACUUGGAUUGUGGUGGAUCCUUUCACUUCCUCUGA
Molecule: long non-coding RNA, 252 nt
Filed under: Chrysemys picta bellii (western painted turtle)
Lineage: Eukaryota; Metazoa; Chordata; Testudines; Emydidae
Description: lncRNA (ENSCPBG00000006876.1)
Source: RNAcentral